GACGAACGCUGGCGGCGUGCUUAAUACAUGCAAGUCGAACGGAAAGGCCCUGCUUUUGUGGGGUGCUCGAGUGGCGAACGGGUGAGUAAAACGUGAGAACCUGCUCUUUACUUUGGGAUAACUUCAUGAAACUGGGGCUAAUACCGGAUAGGAGCUUCUGCUGCAUGGUGGGGGUUGGAAAGUUUCGGCGGUUGGGGAUGGAUUCGCGGCUUAUCAGCUCGUUGUUGAGGGAUGGGCUUACAAAGGCUUUGAAGGGUAGCCGACCUGAGAGGGCGACCGGCGUCAAUAGGACUACGGUACGGCGCAGAAGCCUACCGGCGGCAGCAGUGGGAAGCAUUGCACAAUGGGCGGAAGCCUGAUGCAGCAACGCCGCGUGCGGGAUGACGGCCUUCUGGUUGUAAACCGCUUUCGCCUGUGACGAAGCGUGAGUGACGGUAAUGGGUAAGAAAGCACCGGCUAACUACGUG
Molecule: ribosomal RNA, 467 nt
Filed under: uncultured bacterium
Lineage: Bacteria
Description: partial 16S ribosomal RNA
Rfam family: Bacterial small subunit ribosomal RNA
Source: RNAcentral